GCGCCAAGAUGGCGGCGCGCUGCCAGUACUCAACAUGGCGCCUGUGCCCGCGGUUGCAGCCGAAGUAAGAGUGUCGAUUUUUCCGUGGUUAUAUUACCUUAGCGGUGCUAAAAACGAGGGGAAAGCUCGUGCGCUGGCGGAUGAGAGGAGUGCAGUGCUGUAGGACUUACCAGGCCCAGCUCCCACAGUUUCUCCUCAGAGAGAUGCUCCAGACCCCUCAUCAUUUCUGUGGCCUCUCCUGGACCCUUUCCAGUAGCUCCUUGUCAUUCUUGUACUGCUUCUACACCUGGAAUGUCCUUCCUGGAUGACAUCUGAUAGCAACUGAUCUGCAAUUUUUGUGUAAUUCUGUUAAUGGGAAAAGGCACUGAGGAACUGCAGGAAUGAAUUGGCCUCCCUGUGAGUCACGAGGUCUUAAACUUAGAAAUUCAGCUGUGCAAUAAGCAUGUGAUCUCAUCAGCAUGCCAGGAGAAAUUCCCAGAGUGCCUGAUCCUCAGCAGUUGGUUGGAAGCACCCCCAGCCCAGGGUUGUUUUGUGGCUGGACGGAAUUGGCUGCGAGUCCUGGUAGGAAUGAGCUCAUCCCAAGGAGUGAGCUCUGCCUGGUGUCCCCUGACCUCUGUGGGAACAGCGUGUGUGCAGCCUGCAGAGCACUGAUUUCAUGGAAUACAUGUUUACCAGCUGCAGCCAAGAUUUAUUGCCCAAUUCUGAGUGCUGUGGGGUGGCCUGUGCAGUCACUGAGGUGAGGAGGCAUUUACAGCUGGCAGUGCCUUGCAGAACUGAUGUUCAGCCUGUAACAGUUUCUUCAGUUGCUUGCAACAAUUUGUUUUCACAGAGAAUGCUUAUUUCUCCAUUUUAUUCAGAGUGUAAAUGUUUCAGGUGCAGGGAUAAAUGUUACAUGGAGGGAUGGAGGCCAAAUACAUCAAGAGUGGCCCUAAAAGCAAGUAAUACCUUUAAGUGCUACCCUACUGUUGACAUAGGAAAGCUUUUAGGUGGUGAGGUUUUUGGGAAGUAGCUUUGCAAAGGUGGUAACUGUUACCUCCCCAGGGCACCUUAAAGCAGGAUGGUGCUUUCUUGUCUGAGGUUAUCAGGCUUGUUGUGAUGGUGGCUCAUGUAUCUGGUGUCCUGUGGGAAAAUGGCAUCCAUAGCUAAUGGAAAGCAGAGGGUGCUCUUGGCAAUAAAAUAUAUGGGACAUCUAAUUAUCUAAUGAUUAGAUAAUAAUUAUUAGAUAAUAGAUAAUAAUUAGAUAAGUAUGAUCUUAUACUGUGCACUGAAACAGAGACUCUUUGCACACUCUUCAGUUUGUAUAAGUUUUUGCUCUUUUUGUUUGAAUCCUUAAAUUGAAAAUAAUUCAGUCCAGGUAUUCUUAAGCUAGAAGAUGAAAUAGGAAUACUUGAAGUUUGUACCAAAGAUGUCUUUAAUAUUUCUGCAAAUGUUUCAAUUUCCAUGCAGUUCUCUGGUUUUCAUUGUGAAUAUGAAGAAAUAUGGGGGAAAAUUUAAUCUACUGCCUUUUGAUGAUGUGCAGAAGCACAACCAGUCCUGUAACAGAUGAGUAAGUUGGUUGCCCAGAGAGAUUGUAGAUCCCCAUCCCUGGAAGUGUCUAAAGCCAGGCUGGACAGGGCUUGGAGUAACCU
Long non-coding RNA from Manacus vitellinus (golden-collared manakin), 1628 nucleotides. RefSeq lists it as uncharacterized. The transcript has 4 exons. NCBI's taxonomy places the organism in Eukaryota, Metazoa, Chordata, Aves, Passeriformes, Pipridae. The record is from RefSeq and is a predicted model, not a curated record.